Molecule: ribosomal RNA, 533 nt
Filed under: uncultured bacterium
Lineage: Bacteria
Description: bacterial SSU rRNA
Rfam family: Bacterial small subunit ribosomal RNA
Source: RNAcentral
AAUAGAUACCCUGGUAGUCCACGCCGUAAACGAUGGAUACUAGCUGUUGGAGGUAUCGACCCCUUCAGUAGCGAAGCUAACGCGUUAAGUAUCCCGCCUGUGGAGUACGGUCGCAAGACUAAAACAUAAAGGAAUUGACGGGGACCCGCACAAGCGGUGGAUCAUGUUCUUUAAUUCGAUGCUAAACGAAGAACCUUACCAGGGCUUGACAUCCCGAGAAUUUCUCCGAAAGGAGAGAGUGCUUUUAGAACUCGGUGACAGAUGUUGCAUGGCCGUCGUCAGCUCGUGUCGUGAGAUGUUUGGUUAAGUCCAUCAACGAGCGCAACCCUUGUGAAUAGUUGUAUUUUUCUAUUCAGACUGCCCCGGCAACGGGGGAGGAAGGAGGGGAUGAUGUCAGGUCAGUAUUACUCUUACGUCCUGGGCUAGAAACGUGAUACAAUGGCAGGUACAAUGCGCAGCGAAGCCGCGAGGUGAAGCAAAUCGCACCAAAGCCUGUCCCAGUUCGGAUUGGAGGCUAGAACUCGCCUCCAUGA